UGCUCUACCACUAAGCUAAAUGCCCAACC
Molecule: non-coding RNA, 29 nt
Filed under: Rattus norvegicus (Norway rat)
Lineage: Eukaryota; Metazoa; Chordata; Mammalia; Rodentia; Muridae
Source: RNAcentral